RNAcentral lists this ribosomal RNA (460 nucleotides) under uncultured bacterium. Its description in RNAcentral is "partial 16S ribosomal RNA". It matches the Rfam family "Bacterial small subunit ribosomal RNA", at positions 338 to 795 of the family's 1533-position model. The record is from RNAcentral.
CCUACGGGAGGCUGCAGUGAGGAAUAUUGGUCAAUGGACGAGAGUCUGAACCAGCCAAGUAGCGUGUAGGAUGACUGCCCUAUGGGUUGUAAACUUCUUUUAUAUGGGAAUAAAACGUUCCACGUGUGGGAUUUUGUAUGUACCAUAUGAAUAAGGAUCGGCUAACUCCGUGCCAGCAGCCGCGGUAAUACGGAGGAUCCGAGCGUUAUCCGGAUUUAUUGGGUUUAAAGGGAGCGUAGGUGGAUUGUUAAGUCAGUUGUGAAAGUUUGCGGCUCAACCGUAACAUUGCAGUUGAAACUGGCAGUCUUGAGUACAGUAGAGGUGGGCGGAAUUCGUGGUGUAGCGGUGAAAUGCUUAGAUAUCACGAAGAACUCCGAUUGCGAAGGCAGUUCACUGGACUACAACUGACACUGAGGCUCGAAAGUGUGGGUAUCAAACAGGAUUAGAUACCCUUGUAGUC